UUCCGGUUGAUCCUGCCGGACCCGACUGCUAUCAGAGUGGGACUACGCCAUGCGAGUCAACAUAGCAAUAUGUGGCAUACGGCUCAGUAACACGUAGUCAACAUGCCCAGGGGACGUGGAUAACCUCGGGAAACUGAGGAUAAACCGCGAUAAGUCACUGCUUCUGGAAUGGGCAAUGACUUAAAUCUAUAUGGCCCCUGGAUUGGACUGCGGCCGAUCAGGCUGUUGGUGAGGUAAUGGCCCACCAAACCUGUAACCGGUACGGGCUCUGAGAGGAGGAGCCCGGAGAUGGGCACUGAGACAAGGGCCCAGGCCCUAUGGGGCGCAGCAGGCGCGAAACCUCUGCAAUAGGCGAAAGCCUGACAGGGUUACUCUGAGUGAUUUCCGUUAAGGAGAUCUUUUGGCACCUCUAAAAAUGGUGCAGAAUAAGGGGUGGGCAAGUCUGGUGUCAGCCGCCGCGGUAAUACCAGCACCCCGAGUGGUCGGGACGUUUAUUGGGCCUAAAGCAUCCGUAGCCGGUUCUGCAAGUCUUCCGUUAAAUCCACCUGCUUAACAGAUGGGCUGCGGAAGAUACUAUAGAGCUAGGAGGCGGGAGAGGCAAGCGGUACUCGAUGGGUAGGGGUAAAAUCCGUUGAUCCAUUGAAGACCACCAGUGGCGAAGGCGGCUUGCCAGAACGCGCUCGACGGUGAGGGAUGAAAGCUGGGGGAGCAAACCGGAUUAGAUACCCGGGUAGUCCCAG
This 740-nucleotide ribosomal RNA is filed under the name uncultured archaeon. RNAcentral's name for it is "bacterial SSU rRNA". It matches the Rfam family "Archaeal small subunit ribosomal RNA", at positions 1 to 750 of the family's 1478-position model. The record is from RNAcentral.